ACGACCUUACUUGAACAGGAUCUGUUCUAUAGGCUCGUACCUCUGUUUCCUUGAUUUCUAAGGAGACAGGAAACCAAACCUGGUGGAUGAAUCAUGACCGUGUGAUCAGAGCGUGAUUAAUGGCUUGAUGUUCUUCUGUUCAUCGUGGCUGUAGAGGAUCGUUCUCAGUUAAGCUUCAGCUUUACUGGGAUGGUCACCCGGUUGUCUGACAGGUU
Molecule: small nucleolar RNA, 215 nt
Organism: Cannabis sativa
Lineage: Eukaryota; Viridiplantae; Streptophyta; Magnoliopsida; Rosales; Cannabaceae
Product: small nucleolar RNA U3
Exons: 1
Source: RefSeq, a predicted model, not a curated record